This 348-nucleotide ribosomal RNA is filed under the name Scymnus inderihensis. Its description in RNAcentral is "partial 16S ribosomal RNA". The record is from RNAcentral. Lineage: Eukaryota; Metazoa; Arthropoda; Insecta; Coleoptera; Coccinellidae.
AGUAGGGCCUGCCCACUGAGAAAUUGAAGGGCCGCAGUAUCUUAACUGUGCAAAGGUAGCAUAAUCAUUAGUUUUUUAAUUGAAAGCUGGAAUGAAUGGUUUGAUGAAAAAAUUACUGUUUCAAUAUUAAUUAUUUAGAAUUUUAUUUUUAAGUUAAAAAGCUUAAAUAAUCAUAAAAGACGAGAAGACCCUAUAGAGUUUAAUUUAGUUUAAAUUAUUUUUAUAAAGAAUUUACAUUUUAAUAUUUUAAAUUAAAUUUGAUUGGGGUGAUUGAAAAAUUAAUUUAACUUUUUUUAAAUUUUUACAUUAAUUUAUGAAUAUAUGAUCCAUAAAAAUGAUUAAAAGAUA